GCAUAUCAAUAAGCGGAGGAAAAGAAACCAACAGGGAUUGCCCUAGUAACGGCGAGUGAAGCGGCAACAGCUCAAAUUUGAAAUCUGGCCCUCGGGUCCGAGUUGUAAUUUGUAGAGGAUGCUUUUGGUGCGGUACCUUCCGAGUUCCCUGGAACGGGACGCCAUAGAGGGUGAGAGCCCCGUCUGGUUGGAUACCAAUCCUCUGUAAAGCUCCUUCAACGAGUCGAGUAGUUUGGGAAUGCUGCUCUAAAUGGGAGGUAUAUGUCUUCUAAAGCUAAAUAUUGGCCAGAGACCGAUAGCGCACAAGUAGAGUGAUCGAAAGAUGAAAAGCACUUUGAAAAGAGAGUUAAAAAGUACGUGAAAUUGUUGAAAGGGAAGCGCUUAUGACCAGACUUGGACUUGGUUGAUCAUCCUGGGUUCUCCCUGGUGCACUCUUCCAGUUCAGGCCAGCAUCAGUUCAUCGCGGGGGAUAAAGGCUUCGGGAAUGUGGCUCCCUCGGGAGUGUUAUAGCCCGUUGUGUAAUACCCUGCUUUGGACUGAGGUUCGCGCAUCUGCAAGGAUGCUGGCGUAAUGGUCAUCAGCGACCCGUCUUGAAACACGGACCAAGGAGUCGUCUUCGUAUGCGAGUGUUCGGGUGUUAAACCCCUACGCGUAAUGAAAGUGAACGCAGGUGAGAGCUUCGGCGCAUCAUCGACCGAUCCUGAUGUUCUCGGAUGGAUUUGAGUAAGAGCAUACGGGGCCGGACCCGAAAGAAGGUGAACUAUGCCUGUAUAGGGUGAAGCCAGAGGAAACUCUGGUGGAGGCUCGCAGCGGUUCUGACGUGCAAAUCGAUCGUCAAAUAUGGGCAUGGGGGCGAAAGACUAAUCGAACCUUCUAGUAGCUGGUUUCCGCCGAAGU
Molecule: ribosomal RNA, 897 nt
Filed under: Cylindrocladiella lanceolata
Lineage: Eukaryota; Fungi; Ascomycota; Sordariomycetes; Hypocreales; Nectriaceae
Description: LSU rRNA
Rfam family: Eukaryotic large subunit ribosomal RNA
Source: RNAcentral